This 7426-nucleotide long non-coding RNA is filed under the name Lactuca sativa (garden lettuce). RNAcentral's name for it is "long non-coding RNA (LSAT_LNC000750)". Lineage: Eukaryota; Viridiplantae; Streptophyta; Magnoliopsida; Asterales; Asteraceae. The record is from RNAcentral.
ACGGAGGAUUAUAUGAUCACUUAUCUUAAAUGGCGUACCAUCAUCUUCUCAGUUCCGAGAGACCUUGAAAGAGCUACGAUUGCCGGUCGGUUCCUGAAGUACUAGAGAUAUAGUUAUUAGACUUAUCCAAGUGGGAGACUGUUGGAUAAGGUGUCUAAGUCCAUAACUAUUUCGGGCUUGUACUUGACCCGACCCGGCAUGGUCCAUUUGGGUUGCAUGGCACCAUGCAAUUGGAUAGACUAAAUGAGAGAAAUAACACUUGGAGAUUAUUAAUAUAUUAUAAGUUCUAAUAUAUUAAUAAUAUUAUUUGAUUAGUUGAUCAAAGAAUUAAUUUGGAAUUAAUUAAGUGAUCAAAGGAUAACUAAUUAAAUAUAUGGGUUGAUUAUGUAAAUCAUCCAUAUCUUGUAUAGUGGGCUAAGAGGCUCCAUGGAUUAUCAAGUUGGGUUCUACCCAUAGGAUGCUCCAUGGAUGCUCCAUGGGAGUUACAAACCCAUGGGUCAUGGAAAUGAAGAGUCAUGACACAUUAGGGUUUACAUGGUGUAACCCUAGAUGUGUCAACACUAUAUAAGAAUCAUAUUCUCCACCAAAAUCGGCUACACUAAGAAACUAGAGGGCUUGGCCGAUUUUGAGAAGUGUGUGUUAUCUCAAGAGUCUUUCCAAGAGCAUUUGGUGUUGUGUGAAGCAUUUGAGGCAUCACACUUGGGGUGCUAGGCUCACAAGGUUUCAAGGAACACAAGCAACAACAAGGUAAGUUAUUCUAUCUAUGAUUCAAGUUAAAAUUGUUCCCCAUGUAUGCUAGAUAGGAAUAUAACCUUGGAAUUCAACUUUGCAUGAUAAUUAGACAAACAUAGAUCCAAGGUUAUUAGGGUUGCAUGUACACUUAGGAAGUGUUAGAAUGCUCAAAACCCAUCAGUGGUAUCAGAGCCUAGGCUUGUUUGUUUGUUAUUUGUGCUUAAAAGUUGAAGAAAGUCGAAAAUCUUGCUGUCUGACUGAUGGACUCGGCGAGUCCAUGGGGAGGACUCGUCGAGUUCAUGUGUAUCUUCAACCUACUCGGCGAGUAGGUUUAUGCACUCGGCGAGUAGGGUCGACAGAGUGCAGAAUUUCGACUUGAGUUGCUGGAAAUGGAUUAGAAUCAUUACCCUAAAAUGUUUUGGUACUUGAAAACUUAUUUUAGAAGGUGUAAUGUCUUUUCUAACUCAUUUACAACAACUAGUUAUCAAAAUUACAAAGAUUAAAUGUGAUUUUGAUUCUUGAAAGUGUUCAUAUUCAUAUUCUUGUUCUUAUGAUGUUUAGAUGAUCAUAGGAAUUAUUUGUAACCUAUGUGGUAGAUUAAUUCAUGAUCAUAAUGUGUUUUAAUGGAGUCCAUAACUUGUCCUCAAGUUAUGGAAAACCAAAAGUCUCUUGGAUUAAAAACCAUUAAAAGAACACAAGAGUUAGGAAAAAUGAAAAGUCCUCAUUUUAUUACUCUAUUAAACUCAUAAGUUACAAGAAAUGAAAAGUUUUGAAAGUUUACAAAACUUGCCCUCAAGUUUUGGAACAAGUAAAGUUAAGUUAAAACUUUAGUUCCAACCCCUAGAAUUUUAAAAGUUAAAAUUCAACCCUUAUACUUAUAUUAUUAUGAUUUAAUAAUUAUAUAUAUAUGUAUAAGAACAAAGUCGUCUUACCGCUAGUACGCCUCAUUCACGAAGCCGGUCUAUAAGGUGGGUAUAAGGUUGUUGCCUAUAAAAUGGUGACUUAAUGGGUGUCCACUCUCACCCACCGCUUGCUUGAUCGGUGGAGGGUCGUUAGCCGAACGGGUAAGACAAGGACUUAUUAAUUCUCAUUCAAAGUAUGAUGAAUAUUAUAAAGUAACUAAAUGUUUUAUUAAAUUCCCAAUCUUAGUUACUUUAGGAAAAAUGUGAAUAAGGUGCUAUUCCAUGAAAUUACACUUUACACUUUGAUUAAGUCGUUGGUGGAGCGUGUGUGGUUAACCGGCACACUAACUUGGACUUAACAAGGUAGGUAAAGGGUGACUUAGGGUUUAUUAUAGUAUCGAUGGAGCGUGUGUGGUUAACCGGCACAUCGAUUGAGUGAUAAACUUUAAGGGUACCAAGUGAUUUGCAUGGUUACUUCACACCUCGUUUUGUGAUCCUCGGUAUCCCAGUCACAAAACUUGGAGGGCACACUCGAGAUUGAAACAUGCCUUUGAAAAGUUCAUUGAAUCUCAAAGAAUCUAGGAAUUUCUAAGAACCAUUCAAAAACCUAAUACUAAAAUAUUGCGGUUUUCGUGGUGGAAAUUGGUGAAUCGUCAUUCACCUACCUUUCAAAUAUGAUAUAGCUUAGAUUACGGCAUACCUCUUCUAAGUUAUAUUAUAUUGUGAUUGGAUCCUAGCCUUAAUAUUACAUUUGGGUGUUUUAUUAAGGACUCUCUUAUAUCUAAACUAAUCUUGUCCUCUUUCCUUCAGAUGUCUUUCAACAAUGCUUCUGGCUCUAAUCCUAAUGGCUCCUUUACCCUUAUGAACUUGUGUGGGAAAGUCACCUUUGAUGGAUCCAACUUCAAUGAGUGGAUCAGAAACAUCAGGAUGAUUACCCGCUACGAGGACAAAGAAUAUGUCCUUGACAAGGAGCUUAAGGAGAUUGAUGAGUCCACUGCAACUCCUCAGGAGAUCGCUGAAUUUCGGGCACAUGAAAGGGAUGCUACGAAAGUGGCUUGCAUCAUGAUGGCCACGAUGACAGCGGAACUCCAAAAGUCUUAUGAGGAUUUCUACCCUUAUGAAAUGCACCAAGAUUUGAUGGAAAGAUACCAUCAAAGUGCAAGACAAGAGAGGUAUGAAAUCAUCUGCUCCAUGAUAACAACCAUGAUGAAGGACGGGGAAUCCGUCACGAGCCACAUGCAGAAAAUGCAAAGGUAUGUGGAUCGUUUGCUGAAGCUUAAUGUGAACUUCCCGGAGGAUCUUGCAAUAGAUAUUAUUUUGCAUUCCUUACCAUCGUGCUAUGAUCAAUUCCGCAUGACAUAUCACAUGAACAAGGAAGAAGUCACCCUCAGCAAACUUCAGGGACUUCUCAAGACCGCAGAAUCAGGUCUUAAGGGGAAGUCGGUUGCUAUCACUCCUACUCAAAACUCUACUCCGGUUUUGGCAAUCGGGAAAAGUCGAGGGAGGAAGAGAAAGAGCUCUUCUAAGGGUACCAAGGUUCGGACCCUUGAUGGCUCUUCUUCAAGUGGAACCAAGAAAGGUUUCAUUACUCCUUCUUCUGACCCAAAAGAGGCUGAAUGCUUCUAUUGCCAUGAAAAAGCUCAUUGGAAGCGGAACUGCCCAAAAUACCAGCAAGAUGUGAAGGAUGGGAAAGUUAAACCCAACCAUGCAGGUAUUUACACUAUCAUUUCUAAUAACUCACCCCAUUCUAAUUCUUGGGUCCUUGAUACCGGGUGUGGUAUUCACAUUUGUUGUGACUUGCAGGGACUAAGAAGAAGUGAGGAUGUGGAGCAAGGAAGGAUAAACUUGAUCAUGGGGAAUAGGAAAGCUAUACCUGUUACCAAGAUUGGAGUUUAUACUUUAUCGCUAAGUAGUGGGUUUAGUUUAGAUUUGAAUAAGUGUUGUUAUUCGCCAGGAAUGGCAAGAAAUAUUAUUUCCUUUCAUGCUUUGUACAAACAAGGGUUUACCUUUUCAUUUAAUAAUGAAGUUGGUUCUAUAGAUGUUUUCUAUAAUAAUGUCUUUUAUUUUAAAGCAUUACCUUGUGAUGGUGUGUAUGAAGCUGUAUCUGUUGUAGAUAACUUGGGAAAUAAUGUUUUGUGUAUUGAUUCUACUAAUAAUAACUUGGAUAAAGCAUCUUUAUGGCAUUGUCGUCUUGGACAUAUAAGCAAGAAACGCAUAGGCCAACUCCAAAAGGAUGGAGUCUUGGAGUCGUUUGACCUAAAGUCAGAUGAUAGUUGCGAAUCAUGCUUACUUGGAAAAAUGACAAAGUCACCCUUCACAGGUUCGUGUGAGAGGGGUGAAGGUUUGUUGGACCUUAUACACACGGAUGUGUGUGGACCAUUCAAACAUGCCACAAGGGAUGCUAAUCGUUAUUAUUUGACUUUUACUGAUGAUUAUAGUAGAUAUGGAUAUGUCUACUUGAUCAAGCAUAAGUCAGAGACUUUCGAGAGGUUUAAGGAAUUUAAACAGGAAGUCGAGAAUCAAUUGGGCAGGAACAUUAAGAUGCUUCGAUCCGAUCGUGGUGGUGAGUAUCUUAGUUCAGAGUUCCUCGACUAUCUAAGGGAAUGUGGGAUAGUCUCACAAUUGACACCUCCCAGGACACCACAGUUGAAUGGUGUGGCUGAGAGGCGUAAUCGAACCUUGUUAGAUAUGGUUCGUUCCAUGAUGAGUCGAGCUACGCUACCAAUCUCAUUCUGGGGGUAUGCCUUAGAGACUGCCGCCCAUAUUCUUAAUCUAGUCCCUACAAAGAAAGUUGCCAAAACUCCUCACGAGAUGUGGACUGGUAAAGUACCUAAACUAGACCACAUCAAGAUUUGGGGUUGCGAGGCUUUCGUGAGACGCGAGACUCAUGAUAAGCUCGAACCUCGAAGCGAGAGGUGUAUUUUCAUCGGUUACCCACAGCGAUCCUUUGGUUACCUCUUCUACAGACCUAGUGACAAUGUGGUCUUUGUAGCAAGAAGAGGAGUCUUUCGAGAAAGAGAGUUUAUAAGCCAAGGAGACAGUGGGAGGCAAAUUGAUCUUGAAGAAAUUCAAGAAUCAAGCGGUGAAGGAACUUCAAACUCUAGCCCUCAACUUGAGGAGGAAACUCCUGUUGAGCCAAUUGACAAAUCUGUACCUCUGAGACGUUCCACGAGAGUUAGGAGUGCACCUGAGCAUUACUAUGGAUUCCAUAUUACUGCAGAAGGUGAGACACUUAUUAGUGAUGAGACACUAGUAAGUCAAGAUGACCCUAACAGCUACGAGGAAGCCAUGGCAGGCCCCGAGUCUGCUAAAUGGAAAGAGGCUAUGGAUAGCGAGAUACAAUCCAUGUAUGACAAUCAAGUUUGGAACUUGGUUGAAAAUGUACCAGGUCGUAAGACAGUAGGGUGCAAAUGGGUCUUCAAGAAGAAGACCGACAUGGAUGGUAAAGUACACACUUAUAAGGCUAGACUGGUUGCAAAGGGCUUCUCUCAAAUUCCUGGAGUGGAUUAUGAUGAGACCUUUUCUCCGGUAGCCAAGAUUAAGUCUAUUCGGGUUCUGUUAGCCAUAGCUGCAUUUCAUGACUAUGAAAUAUGGCAGAUGGAUGUCAAAACCGCUUUCCUUAAUGGAAAGUUGGCUGAAGAUGUUUACAUGAGUCAGCCAGAGGGUUUUGUCAGCAACGAGUACCCUAAUAGAGUGUGUAAGCUUGAGAAAUCCAUUUAUGGAUUGAAGCAAGCACCUCGCAGAUGGAAUCUUUGCUUUGAUGAAAAGGUCAAGGAAUUUGGCUUUUCUAGGAGUGAAGAUGAAUCUUGUGUGUAUGUCAAGGCUAGUGGGAGUAUAGUUAGCUUUUUGGUAUUGUAUGUGGAUGACAUACUACUCAUAGGAAACGACAUUCCAACCCUGCAGGAAGUAAAGUCCUGGCUUGGGAAGUGUUUCGCUAUGAAGGACCUUGGUGAAGCUGCCUAUAUUCUAGGGAUAAGAAUCUUGAGAGAUCGGAGUAAAAGACUAAUUGGACUUAGUCAGAGUACCUACUUGGAUAAGGUGCUGAAGAGAUUCAGCAUGCAGGAUUCCAAGAAAGGAGAGUUACCCAUCCAGAGUAACACCAGAUUGAGUAAGACACAAAGCCCUAGCACUGAGGCUGAGAUAGCAGAAAUGAGUCGAACACCUUACGCUUCGGCUGUAGGAUCGAUCAUGUAUGCUAUGACGUGUACUCGACCCGAUGUAGCUUUUGCCUUGAGCAUGGUUAGCAGGUAUCAGGCGAACCCUGGCAAGGCACACUGGACUGCGGUAAAGAAUAUCCUCAAGUACCUACGGAGGACUAAGGACUGGGUCCUUACCCUCGGUGGGAGUGAUGACUUGAGAGUUGUAGGGUAUAGUGAUGCUAGCUUCCAGACUGAUAGGGAUAAUUUCCGCUCUCAGUCGGGCUGGGUCUUUACCCUAAACGGAGGAGCAAUUUCUUGGAAGAGUUCCAAGCAAGAGACAGUGGCAGAUUCUACUUGUGAAUCAGAGUAUAUUGCAGCUAGCGAAGCAGCAAAGGAGGCGAUAUGGCUGAAGAACUUCAUUGGAGACCUUGGAGUUGUACCAGCUAUUAAAGAGCCAAUGGAAAUUUUCUGUGAUAGUGAAAGUGCUGUUGCCUUAGCCAAGGAACCAAGGGAUCAUGGGAGAUCCAGACACAUCGACAGAAAAUACCAUUUCAUUAGACAUCGGAUCGAAGAAGGACUCCUCGUGGCAAAGAGGGUAUCAUCGGAUGAGAACCCAGCAGAUCCCCUCACGAAGGGACUGAGUAGGGUUAAGCAUCUCCAGCAUGCUCGGAGCAUAGGGCUGAAGGAUGAUAUAAGUUUUAGUAGUUAGAUAACCCAGAAAUUUGUAAAGUGUAAUUGACAUUUGAUGAUGAAUAAAAGGUGUUUUAUUUAUGAGUAAAGUGUUGCUAUCUCUUGUCAAUCGUUUACUAUAUUUCUUUUGCAUGUUUUGACUUCCAGAAUAAUUUUGUUUGGUGUAACAUAUUAUUCAAACCUCCACAGUCGGUCAUAUGUCGGAAGUAGGUAUGAAUCAAGACUGUCAUGAUGGGUUGUAGAGGUCUAAGGUGUUGGACAAGGCUACAACAAUCAUGAGUGCUCAUAAGUUCUGAGCAUUGGACUCAACCCACGCUCACUGGAAUCACUUCAUGGAAUUCUAUCUCGAGUGAUCGUGAGACGGUAAUAUCAUAUAAGUCUUCAAACCUAGAGAUAUGAUUUGUUACUUACAAGUUGGUUAUGCAUUGACUGUACGAAACCGCAUUGGUAACUCGAUGUUAUAAAACGUACUUUUGUGUGUAAUUCAAUGAGUGGUAGAACAAACAUAUGAGUCGAAGUUUAUCUGUUCCUUCUUGGAUUAGAAGCUGAUAUCUGGGCCCCUCGAUGAUUUUGUUUUGACCCAUGUACCGGGCCCGGUCAGAACUAAGUUGAUGUGUUCAAUUAAGUUCUAUGUCAAACAAAUCGGAAAUCGGGAAACAAAUGCUGGACAAUAAGCAAGACAAUGUUCCAUGUAUUUGUCCGGCUGAUAUCUAGAACGGAGGAUUAUAUGAUCACUUAUCUUAAAUGGCGUACCAUCAUCUUCUCAGUUCCGAGAGACCUUGAAAGAGCUACGAUUGUCGGUUGGUUCCUGAAGUACUGGAGUUAUAGUUAUUAGACUUAUCCAAGUGGGAGACUGUUGGAUAAGGUGUCUAAGUCCAUAACUAUUUCUGGUCAGUACUUGACCCGACCCGGCAUGGUCCAUUUGGGUUGCAUGGCACCAUGCAAUUGGAUAGACUAAAGGAG